Molecule: long non-coding RNA, 313 nt
Filed under: Capsella rubella
Lineage: Eukaryota; Viridiplantae; Streptophyta; Magnoliopsida; Brassicales; Brassicaceae
Description: long non-coding RNA (CRUB_LNC004653)
Source: RNAcentral
AGGUCCUUUUCUUUGCUUCUUUUUCCUUCUUCAUGACUUGUUUCCAUCGUAAAACAAAUAUAUAGAUGUUCAAUUGGAUGCAUAUUUGAACUCUAGGCACGUGAAGCAAGGAAGAGAAUGGCCGUGGCUGAGAAAUCAGAACUUACAGAGUCAUAACUUCACAUCUAAGAUAAUGGGGACACAUCAAAAUCUGAAGAAAACACAUCAAAGUAAGAAUUUACAACAAGGAGCUAGCAGAGACUAAUUUGCCAAUCUGAAGUCUAAAUUCAAGAACCAAAUAAACAUGAGGUAGUGUUUUGAGUGAUCGGAAAAC